UGAGGAAUAUUGCGCAAUGGGGGCAACCCUGACGCAGCAACGCCGCGUGGACGAUGAAGGCCUUCGGGUCGUAAAGUCCUUUUCUGAGGGAAGAUAAUGACGGUACCUCAGGAAUAAGUCCCGGCUAACUACGUGCCAGCAGCCGCGGUAAAACGUAGGGGGCGAGCGUUAUCCGGAUUUACUGGGCGUAAAGCGCACGUAGGCGGCGCUGUAAGUUGGGCGUGAAAGCUCCCGGCUCAACUGGGAGAGGUCGUUCAAUACUGCAGUGCUCGAGGUUGGCAGAGGAGAGUGGAAUUCCCGGUGUAGUGGUGGAAUGCGUAGAUAUCGGGAGGAACACCAGUGGCGAAGGCGACUCUCUGGGCCAUACCUGACGCUGAGGUGCGAAAGCGUGGGGAGCGAACGGGAUUAGAUACCCCCGUAGUCC
This 424-nucleotide ribosomal RNA is filed under the name uncultured prokaryote. Its description in RNAcentral is "bacterial SSU rRNA". It matches the Rfam family "Bacterial small subunit ribosomal RNA", at positions 355 to 796 of the family's 1533-position model. The record is from RNAcentral.